AACGCACAUUGCGCCCUUUGGUAUUCCAAAGGGCAUGCCUGUUCGAGCGUCAUUUGUACCCUCAAGCUUUGCUUGGUGUUGGGCGUCUUGUCUUUGGCCCCCCAAAGACUCGCCUUAAAACGAUUGGCAGCCGGCCUACUGGUUUCGCAGCGCAGCACAUUUUUGCGCUUGCAAUCAGCAAAAGAGGACGGCACUCCAUCAAGACUCCUUCUCACGUUUGACCUCGGAUCAGGUAGGGAUACCCGCUGAACUUAA
Molecule: unclassified non-coding RNA, 255 nt
Filed under: uncultured Pleosporales
Lineage: Eukaryota; Fungi; Ascomycota; Dothideomycetes; Pleosporales
Description: sequence contains 5.8S rRNA gene, ITS2, 28S rRNA gene
Rfam family: 5.8S ribosomal RNA (bases 1-52)
Source: RNAcentral